RNAcentral lists this long non-coding RNA (406 nucleotides) under Brassica napus (rape). RNAcentral's name for it is "long non-coding RNA (BNAP_LNC023439)". Lineage: Eukaryota; Viridiplantae; Streptophyta; Magnoliopsida; Brassicales; Brassicaceae. The record is from RNAcentral.
AUUUUUAUAAUUUAAAUAGAUAUGUAUGAAUAAUAUUAAGGGAAAUUGCCAAAAAUACCAUUUUCAAAGUACCACUUUUCAUGUUUACACUAAUCACUUUUAUUUCAUGUUUACGCUAAUCACUUUUACCCUCAUCUUUAAUGAAUGGUAAAAGACAUUUAUAACCUUUUGAUUACUUUUGACACAAAAAAACAUAAGGUUAACUAAUCUAAACUUAAAACAUCAACUCUAAACCCUAAAUCAUCAACUCUAAACCCUAAACCCCGAAACAUCAACUCUAAACCCUAAAACUUCAAAUCUAAACCCUAAAACUUCAAAUCUAAACCCUAAAACAUCAACUCUAAACCCCAAACAUAAACCCUAAACCCUAAAUCUAAACUUAAAACAUCAACUUUAAACCCUACAU